RNAcentral lists this ribosomal RNA (395 nucleotides) under uncultured bacterium. RNAcentral describes it as "bacterial SSU rRNA". It matches the Rfam family "Bacterial small subunit ribosomal RNA", at positions 358 to 770 of the family's 1533-position model. The record is from RNAcentral.
GGAAUAUUGGACAAUGGGCGCAAGCCUGAUCCAGCAAUGCCGCGUGAGUGAUGAAGGCCUUAGGGUUGUAAAGCUCUUUUGCUAGGGAAGAUGAUGACUGUACCUGGAGAAUAAGCCCCGGCUAACUUCGUGCCAGCAGCCGCGGUAAUACGGAGGGUGCUAGCGUUGUUCGGAAGUACUGGGCGUAAAGGGCGCGUAGGCGGCCGUUUAAGUUAGAUGUGAAAGUCCUGGGCUCAACCUGGGGACUGCAUUUAAUACUGGAUGGCUUGAAUUCGGGAGAGGAUAGCGGAAUUCCCAGUGUAGAGGUGAAAUUCGUAGAUAUUGGGAAGAACACCGGUGGCGAAGGCGGCUAUCUGGACCGACAUUGACGCUGAGGCGCGAAAGCGUGGGGAGCA